Peromyscus californicus insignis is the source of this 11788-nucleotide long non-coding RNA. RefSeq lists it as uncharacterized. Lineage: Eukaryota; Metazoa; Chordata; Mammalia; Rodentia; Cricetidae. The record is from RefSeq and is a predicted model, not a curated record. The transcript has 3 exons.
UGGGUUGUAAAAUAAAUGAAAAAUUUAAUUAAUAAAAAACUGAAAAAGAAUCAGGUGGCUGUAGGUGCAUGUACUUAUAUCUGGGUCUUUAGUUCUAUUUCCACUGGUAAAUUUGCCCGUUUAUGCGUCAGGUACAAUACUGUUUUCAUUGCUGUGGCUCUGUAAUCUUUGAAAUCAGGCAUGGCAAUACUUGCAGCAGCAUGUGUAUUGCUCAGGAUUCUUUGUGCUACUCAUAUGAGAUUCAAGAUUGUAUUUUCAGUAUCCAUGAACAAUUCCUCUGGGAUUUUGGUGGAGAUUACAUUGAGUCUGUAGAUUGCUUUUGAUAGGAUGGCCAGUUUGUUUUACAGUAUUCAUCCUAUUAAUCCACUUGCAUGGAGGUCUCUCCAGCUUCUGGUGUCUUCUUUAAGUUCUUCAUUGUUUUAAAGUUUUCAUUUUAUAGGUCUUUCAUUUCCUUGAUGUAUUAGUUACUUUUCUGUUGCUAUGAUAAAAUACUAUUCCCAAAAGUGACUUAUGGAAGAAAGAAUUUAUGUUGGGUUUAUGGUUCCAGAGGGAUAAAGAGUCCAUCAUGGCAGGAAGGCAUAGCAGCAUCAGGCAUCAGGCAGCAUCAGGCAGCAUCAGGCAGCUGGAGCAGGAAGCUGAGAGCUCUCGUCCUAGCUAUAAGCAAGAAGCAGAGAGAACAGUUAGGAAGUAGGGCAAGGCUUUAAGCUCUCAAAACCUUCCCAUAGUGACACAGUUCCUCCAGCAAGGCCAUACUUCUUCAACCUCCCUAAACAGUGUCACCAACUGGAACCAAGUAUUCAAAUAUCAGAGCCUGUGGGGGACGUUUCUUACUUAAACAAGCACAGUUGGUUAGGUUUCUUCCAUGGUAUUUUAUUUAUUUAAGUUUAAGGAUAUUGGGAAGGUAUAUUUGUCUUUGGUAUAUAUAGCAAGGACAUUGAUUUAUGUAUGUUGAUUUUUGUGACCUGCCACCUUGCUGAAAGUGUUUAUCAGAUCUAGGGGAGUCUUUGGGGUCUUUCAGUUACAGAAAAAUUAUAUGCAAAUAGGGGUACUUUGACUUCUCAAUUCCUUCUCUUAUCUUAAUGCUCUAGCUAGUACUUUAAGAACUAUAUCAAAUUGGAGUGGGGAACAUGGAUACCCUUGUUUUGUUCUGAUUUCAGUGGAACUUAACUCCAGCUUUUAUCCAUUUAGCUUUGUAAUGAAUAGCCUAUUAUGUUGAGAUACAUUCCCUUCACCCUAGUCUCUCUAGGGUAUUUUUAUUAAUCAUGAAUAGGUAUUAGUUUUUGUCAAAGAUCUUUUCUGUAUCAACUGAAACCAUCAUGUAUAUGUAUACAUAUAUGUUACUAUGUAUUUUAUGUAAUUUUAGGUAAAUACAACAUAAUAUGAUUCAUUACUAAUUUUUCAAAUUAUUUGUUCCCCCUCGUUCUGUAUUAUUCUUCCUCCUCCUUCUCCAUUUAAAAGUCGACUCCUUGUUUUUCCCAUUUUGCUCUUCAGAGCACUCAUAGCCUACUAUUUCCCUCUCUAGUGAUUGUCCUCCACCACAUGGUGCUUUUUUAAAUUCCUGGUUACUGCAAUGUUACUCAAGGUUACAUAUUCACAUCUGAAGAUUUGGGGCUAGGAACCAUAGAUGACAGACAACAUACAGUCUGUGUCUUUCUGGUCUGAGUUACUCUACUCAAUAUAGUAUUUUAUAGUUCCAUUUCCAUGCAAAUUUCUUGAUUUCAUUGCAUACAUUUUCAUUAUUCAUUCAUCAGUUACAGACAUUUAAGAUUUCCUAGCGAUCUUAGUUUGGGUUGCUAUUGCUGUGAAUAGACACCAUGACCACAGCAACUCUCUUUUUUGUUUGUUUGUUUGUUUUGUUUUUGUUUUUUUGAGACAGGGUUUCUCUGUGUAUUUUUGGUGCCUGUCCUGGAACUCACUCUGUAGACUAGGCUGGCCUCAAACUCACAGAGAUCCACCUAACUCUGCCUUCCGAGUGCUGGGAUUAAAGGUGUGCAUUACUACCGCCCGGCUCCACAGCAACUCUUAUAAAGGAAAACAUUUAAUUGGGGCUGGCUUACAGUUUCAGAGAUUUAGUCCAUUAUCUUCAUGGUGGUAUGCAGGCAGACAUGGUGCUGGAGAAGGAGCUGAGAGUUCUACAUCUUGAUCCACAGGGAGCAGAAUCAAUUGUGUCCUACAUUGGGUGCAGCAGAAUCAGCUAUGCCCUACACUGGGCGUAGCUUGAGCAUAGCAUAGCAGACCUCAAAGCCCACCUCCACAGUAACACACUUCCUCCAACAAGGACAUACCUAUUCCAACAAGGCCACACCUCCUCAUAGUACCACUCCCUUUGGGCCAAGCAUUCAAACACAUGAGUCUAUGGGGGCCAUACCUAUUCAUACCACCACACUAGCUUUUGUGAAUAGAGUGGCAGUGAACACUACUGAGCAAGCGUUGUGGAACAGGACGUUUUUGGACAUGUGCCAAGGAGUACUAUAGUUGUGUAAUAUGUUAGACUUAUUCCUAGAUUAGUGAGAAUUCUUAAAACUCUUUCCAGAGUGGCUCUACCAGUUUUGAAUCCCCCCAACAGUGAAUGAGGGUUCCCUUUUCUCAAAUUACUCAACAGUAUUUGUUGGUGGUUGUUUUGCUGAUCUUAGCCAUUCUGACUGGUGUAAGAUGAAAUCUUAGAGUUGUAAUUGAAUUCCUCUAAUUGCUAAGAUUAUGAACAUUUUACAGCCAUUUUUAUUUCUUUUGAGAAUUCCGUUCAGGUCCAUAAUCUAUUUUAAUUGGUCAUUUGUUUUCAUGACUCUUUAUUUUUAAGUUCUUUGUAUAUUUGGGAUAGUAAUCCUCUGUCAGAUGUCUAGCUGGCCAAGAUUCUCACCUACUCUGUGAGUUUCUUCUUCACCCAAUUGGUUGUUCUCAUGGCUGUACAGAACCUCUUUAGUUUUAUGAGGUGCCACUUGUCAAUUUUUGGCCUUAUUUCUGGGCAAAGUGAGUCCUUUUCAGAAAGUCAUUUCUUACACCUAUCUCAUGAAGGAUACUCGCCGAAUUUUCCUCUCUAAGUUUCAAUAUUUUGGGUUUCACAUUGAGUUCUUUGGUUUACUUGGAGCUCUUUUUUUUUCUUUGAGCAGGGUGAUUUAAACGAGUCUAGUUUCACUCUUCUACAGGUUUUCCCCGCACCAUUGUUGAAGAUGCUGCCUUUUGUCCAGUGUGUGUUUUGGCGUCUUGGUUGGAAUGGAGAUGUGACAGCUGUCUAGGGGAUUACUGAAUUUGCUCCCUGACAUGAACAAAGAAUUGAAUGACUAGGAAAGACAGAAGACAAAGCCACAGAAAAGGGGAAAACAGCAGCUUUAUCCUGUCAGGAUGGCAGAAGCCUAAGGCUAGAAGUCCACUAAACCGAGGCUGAAUUGGGUACUUUAUAGGGCCCUUGGUUCCUCUUCUUUCCCCUACUGGUCCUGUCUAGAUACCUGCCAUUUUUCCUCACAGAGUCUUCUGGGAACCAAAAGCAGCCAUCUUAUAGAGCCUGCUUUGUUUUCCUUGUUUACCUAUGUCCCUCUGACUUUGCUCAAUAUCCUGUGGUGGUUUGAAUAAGAAUGGCCUCCAUAAGGUCAUAUAUUUGAAUGCUUAAUCACCAGGGAGUGACACUAUUCAAAAGGAUUAUAAGGAUUAGGAAGUGUGGCCUUGUUAAAGAAAGUGUGUCACCGAGGGUGGGCAUUUAGGUUUCAAAGGCCCAUGCCAGGCCCAGUGUCUCUCUUUCUGCCUACAGAUAAGGAUAUUGCUCUCAGGUACUGCUCCAGUGCCUCUCUGCUUGCUGUCAUGUUCCCUGCCAUGGUGAUAAUGGAUUAAACCUCUGAAACAAUAAGCAAGCUCCCAAUUAAAUGCUUUCUCUUAUAAGAGUUCUCUUAUAAGCCCUGGUCAUGGUAUCUCUUCAUAGCAAUAGAACAGUGACUAAGACAUACCCCCCUCUCAGAGAUUGAUACUGACUGCUGUUGGAGGAGUGAGUGUUGACUGCUCUACUUACUUUCUGCUCAGAGGAAGUGGAAUCUAGAGGUGUCAAUUCAAAUGAUGGGUGGUCCAGAGUGCUGUGGCCAGAUUCUAGAGGGCAGUGUAUCAGGGACUCUAUCUACAGGACCUUCUGUAGUAGGUAUGUGCUAUAAAUAGUUUUGAGUGAAGUUAUGUCACUUGGGGUACUUACUAAUGCUUCCUUGAAGAGCCAUAGACUGUCUAACAAUGCCCCCCCCCAAGUACCAAGCCUGAGAAACUUCCUUUCCUGUUGUUGGUCAGAGGAGUCCAAGAGACUCCCAAAACAAUAUAGGCUAUUGCUAUUGCCUUUGCUCCCAGAAGUUGAAGAUAAAUCCCUAGUGUUGAUGACAUCUUGCUCUUCAGACACAGGACUUGGAGGAUUUGAGCUGAACCUGACCUGAAAGCAUCUUCCCUGAGGACUAGCUUUCAUAGUGAUGCAAGCUGCUGAAAGAAGGAAAGAAGGAAGCAAUCAGUAGUCCUACCAGUCUGUGAGGCCUGUGACAAAAACAUGACCAGUAUUGUUAAGGUAUCUAUAAACAUACAAUGGUGACACUCAUAUUCUGGUGGCAACCAGCUCUUGUCUAAUUGGACUUACAGCCCUCCUAAACAGUGGAGAAAUCAUGCCUAGUACUGUAAACCCAGCCAACUACCUGUUGCUAAUGAGGUCAUGGAUCUUCAAGGAGAACCUAUUGAUGCCAUGCCUGAUAACAGUAAUUAACCUAACUGCAUUCUAAAUAUUUGCCCUUAUACCCACAGAUAAAUAUAGCUCUCAUCCCUCAUUAAAGAAGUUUCUCUUUGCAAAAGACAAGACAAUUACAGAAAACUACAACUGGUGAAAAUGCAGAGAACAACUGAUUGUAGGAUGCCCAACCCAAAUUGGUACAUCUGCCACACAACCCCCAACUCUGAAGUUCAUGGAACAUCAUAGAGGGGAUGGAAAGAUUUCAAGAGCCAGAGGACCAAUAAGUUUGCUGUGGGAUUGUGUCUACUAGAAAUGACAGAGAAUGAUACCCAUGAUACCUCAAAAAUAUGGCUGCCAAUGGACCUGAAUAAUGACCACACCAAUAGGCAUGCUUACUUUGAAGGGGGAAAUCUCAUAGGACCCGUAGACAAAGAACUACAGGCAACUAAUGAUGACUGAAGAAGGGAUAAUUAGUCUUCCCCCAGGAAUGAGCCUCUAAAUUUGUUAUCCACAAGGGAUCAACCCUGAAAAUCAUAUACAUACAAGUAACAGUAAAUAGACUCAGAAGAUUGUAUUUAUAUAUUUAUGUAUAUGAAAGAAUAAUAAUAAAGAAAAAGAGGCCAUGAAUUUGAGAGAGAGUUAGGGGCAGACAUGAGAAAGAUUAGAGAGAGGAGGAGGAAAUGAUAUAAUUAUAUUUUAGAUUUUUUAAAAUUGGAAAAGAAAAGAAAAGAGCAUGGUAGAGAGAGAUGAGGCUGGACUCAUGACCCUUAUCUCUUGCACUACUCUCUGGUCUUCCUUAAUGGUGAGUCUACCCUGGAGUUAAAUAGUCCUUCUUUGUAUACCUACAUAUCUAGAACUUGUGUAGUUAUUGAUGUCUAUAAACAUACCAAUUUGUGUGUGUGAACUUUACCUAAAGGAACUAAGCAGGACAAAUGAAACAGAAUUCAGAAAAAAAUAUCUUAAGCAAUUUCAAUGAUUGAAUUGCCUCUUGUCUUUCCAUCCUUCCCCCUUCCCUUCCUUCCUGUCUUUUCCUCUGUUCAUUCAGCUCUUUCCCCCAGUCUCAAUUCCUUGUUGCCUUACUCUUUUCUUAGUGAUGUGAAAAUAGUUGUGUGGUUGUUCACCUGUUUUCUUCAUUACUAUCCUCUUGCCUAAAAGAUCUCUUGGGCCAAUGGGAUACUUUUAUGCCAAAUCCCUGUGACUUAAGAAAACUCACUGGCAGCAGUGUAGAAGUUUGCUGAAAUGUUUGCAUAUGGUGACUAUCCUGGCAUGUACUCAAGAGGGACUGGCUGGCUUUGGACAAGAUCCUGUUGCAUUUUCCCAGGGAUCAGCUGUGCAUCUUGACUGUCUCUUGAGAGCGUGUUGGAAUCAGGAAAGGUAUGAGCAUCAGUCUCUGCAAGGCUCAAAAUAUCUAAUGGAGAUCGUGCCUACAGAAAGCAGAUGUGCUCUACAGUGGCUGCUUACUGUUGCUCUCCUUGUCAAAAUGGACAUAGUAAUUUGGAGAUGGGGUCAUAGCUCUUGAGUGGGGUAUGUUCAUAUGUUUGAGGUGAGCAAGGACAUGUCUUUGAUCUACUAUAAAAUAGUCCAUUGAGCAGCAUGUGGCAGGUUAGAAGGUCGAGGUCAGUGCUUAGCUUUGUUGAGCUGUGCAACUGUCCUUAUCCCAUUUGAGGGAGCAGAGUCGGGUCACUAUGGGGAAGCACGUGUCCAGAAAAUAGGGUUUGCUGACCUCAUUUUGGGUAGUUAAAAGUGCCGCAUUAUUGCUGAAAUGACUUUGGCACAGCAGAGUGUGACUUUCUCUCUGAGUUCAGCCUUCUCUUCCACAUUAUGCUGCUGCUUUUGCUGCUGUAACAGCAGUGGUGAAGAAAGAGGUAAUAUUUGGCCUUCCAGUGGGAGCAGUAGUGGUACAGCAAUCGAAAGCAUAUUAGAAGACACUUUCUGAGGGCAAUUUUAGGUUAUUCUUAAAGAUACUCCCUAACAGAUUCAUGGUAUACGUUACUAUUUGACUUCUUUUGCUGCUGUAAUUAAGAAAAAUGUCUAGCAACAGGUAUACAAUGAUUUCAAACAGAAACCCUUUUGAUAGUACCAAACCAAAGUCAAAAAUGUCCUUCCUUCACUUGGAGCUUCUUUCUCCCCUUUAGUGUGUUCCCCCCUAGAGUAACAUGGCAUCAAACAGAUAGUUCCUUGGCAUCCAGGGAUUUUGUGCUCUGUUUUAUAUGUAUGCCCUGACUUCCCUAGAUGAUGGACUGCACGCUGUGAAAAGAAGUAAGCUGUUUCCUCCCAGGUCGCUUCCAGUCGUGGUGUUUUAUCACAGCAGUGCAGACCCUGAGAUUCCAGCCUGCACGGGACCUUCCAGCACUAUGAACACCAGCCAGCAGAGAGGAAACUUCCAGCUUAGGUCUAGCUUGAUCAGACAGAGACUAUUACAGAAAACAACAACCCAUCAAACUGCAGAGUUUUGGAGCCUGGUUCCAAUGGAUACAUCUACAAAGCAACUACAUCCAAGGCUCUGGGAAUAUUUCAGGAGAAGGGACAGAAUGAUUCUAGGAACUAGAGAUUCAGGGAACAAGCUGUGAGGCUGUCUCCUAGUAAUGCCAGAAGUUACCCAUAAUGUCUCAGCAAUGUCACUGCCCAAACAUGAGCUGAGCAAGGACACCAAUAGACAUGCCUGAUUGGACAGGGGCAAGCUGAACUAGGCCUCAGCCCUAGAAAAGCACAACAGCCAACUAAGGAAUACUGAGAGCUGGAGAAAGAGUCUUCCCCUGAGAAGAGUAGCAAUUGUUAAUCCUGUACCAAAUGAUCAGUCCUGGAAACAUACAUACAAGUAACAUGAUAAAGACUGAGCAGGUUGUAUUUAGAAAUUCAUAUAUAUAUAUAUAUAUAUAUAUAUAUAUAUAUAUAUAUAUAUAUACACACACACACACACAUAUAUGUAUAUAAUAUAUAUACAUAUAUACGUGUCUAUUAUAUAUACAUAUAUAUAAAUAUAUAAUAUAUAUACACACACAUAUAUAAAAACACAUACACAGAUGCGUGGAAAAACAGUUAAUGAAAAAUGCCAUUAAUUUGAAAGAGAGCAGGGAGGGGUAUAUGUGAGUCUUUGGAGGGAGGAAAGGAAAGGAAGGAAAGAUGUAAUUAUAAUAGCAAAAAAAAUUACAUUUUUUAGUUUCCUUCUCAAUUGACUAACUCUCUGCAUGGCUGUUGCCUAUGUCCUAAGUUUUAGUUGACCUUUUCCCAUAACCCCAUUGCCCAUAGCACCAUCCCCGUUUAAGCCAUUUUAGCCCGAGAGUCCCCCCUCCCAACUCCACUCUCAUGUCACAUGCAUUUUACUGUCCCUUCCCUCAAGACCUCCUCUCGUGGCUCCUUUCCUGAUCCCUGACUUCUGCAGACACUAACUCCUAUUUAAACACAGAAAUGGAAAACUAAGAAGCUAGGGUCCACAUGCCAGAGAAUGUAUGCGGCUUCUGUGGCUAUUUUGACAGAGGUGCCAAAAGCAUACAUUGGAGAGCAGGCAGCCAUCCUCAUUGACACACAGUCCUGGAAAACUAGAUAUGCACGUUUAGAAGACUAAAACUGCAUCCCUAUCUUCCAUCCUGAAGAAAAAUCAGCUCCAACUGGAUCAAAGACCUUCAUAUGAGACCUGAAAUUCUGAACAUGCCAGAGGGAAACAUAGGGGAAAUUCCUCAGGAGAAGGGUAUGUAUAGCCAAGAACCUUCUUAAAAGGUUCAGUAGCUCAGGAAAUGGGCUUCAUAUUUGGCAGAUGGGAUCAUGAGGCAUUAACAACAUUCUCCACAGCAAAAGCGAGCAAAUUGCUGGAGUGAAGAGACAGCACUCAGAACAGGUAAAAAAUAUUUACUACAUAUCCAUCAGGCAGAAAAUUAAUGAAUAAAUAGAUUCCAACAACUACAAGAGAACGAAACAAGUCAAAAAUCAGUGAUUAAAACAAACACAUUUCUCAUGCAUACUAUACGACAUGCAUGUCAACAAGAGGGAGACUGUGAUAAGAAUAAGGAGACUAGUAGGUGGGAAGAAUGAAAUGAGGAGAAAAAAGAGUGUAUGAGGUUGAAAGUGGCUAAGGUACACUUUGUAUUGGAACAUGAAGAGUAUUAGACGCAUUGCUAUUUGCAGGGUGUGUACAGCAUUAAAACAUGGGUGAAUAAGUCUGGCCCACCUCCUGAGGCCAUGUUGAUGUCCAAGAGCCGUGCUGCAGCUGUGCCGUGCUGCUCUGGGUGGCCUGCACUGCCACCUGGGGCCAUGGUGACCUCUGGGCACAGGCUGCUGCAGAGGGCCAUGUCUGGGUCCAUUCUCCUGCUGCAGCCAGAGUCUGUGUUAAAGUCCAUGGCCCAUUUCACCCCCAAAGGUGGCACCGAUGCCCAAGUGUGGGCUCCUAACUGUGGCUAUGUUGGUGCCCGAGGCCCAUGCCACUGCUGGGGCCAUGCUGAUCUGGGUGUCCUGAGCUGCUACUCAGGACCAUGGUGAAGUCUGGGCCUGAGCUGCUGCCAAGGACCAUGUCUGGAUCCGGGGCCCUGAAGCAGCCAGGGCCUAAGUUGAUGUCCGUGGAUGGCUUCAGUUGCCACAGAAAUCCAUACAGAUUCCCAGGGUCCAAAGCACCACCUGAGGUCAUGUUGGUCUCUGAGGACCAUGCUGCAGAUGGGGCCAUACAGAUCUUAGUGGGAUGCCCUGCUACCCAGUGCCCUGGUGACAACUGGUUAGGGCUUCAACUGAGGGCCAUGUCUGGGUCCGUGGCCUUAAUGUGGCCAGUUGCUGUGUUGAUGUCCUGGCUCCUGUUACCAUCAAAGGUCAUGUAGAUGCCAGGAGUCUGGGCCACCACCUGGGGACUUAUUGGUGUUGGAGGGCGAUCUGAGUGGCCUGGGCUGCUACCUGGGGACAUGGUGGCAUCUAGGCCCCUCUGCUGCUGAGGACCAUGUCUGGGUCCUAAGUCUAAAACAGGCAGGGGUCUGUGUUGAAGUCACUGGCCUGUGUUACCACCAAAGGACAUAUAGAAGGUCAGAGUCUGAGCCACAAAACUGUGGCUUUGAUGGUGUCUGAGGGCUGUGCCACUGCAGGAGCCAUGCUGAUCUGAGUAGCCUGUGCUGCCAAGCAGGGCCAUGAUGUUGUCUAGGUCUGAGCUGCAGAGGGCCCUGUCUGGAUUCGUGGUCCUGCUGCAACUGGGAUCUGUGUUGAUAUCUGUGGCCUGUGUUUCCACAGGGGGCCGUAUAAGAACCAUGCAUGAUGGAACCCAAGGGUCAGGCUGAGCCAGCCCUGCCCUAAGCUGGCCCUGCCCUCUCUGGACACCGCAGCAAAGAGCUGGCCCCAGCACUUGGGAGAGAUGGCCCUACCGCUCGCUCACCAUGGGUGUGGGAAAGCUGGCCCUCACAGCAUGGGCAUGAGAGCUGGCUCUGCUGCACACCUGAAUGGGGCAGCCCCAGGGGCCAGGUCUGACCAGUUCAACUACCACCCAGGCCCACAUCCAGGGCUUUGGGUUGGCCCACCCUAACAUCCACCCCAUCUCUGACCUGCCAGAGCACGUGAAGGGAUUGGUCCUGUGGAACAUUAAGCACAGCAUGUCCAUGACUCGGGGUGCCCUCCUGAAAACCAAGAAGCACUUCAGAGAGGGUCUAGUGAUGAAUGUGUACCAGAAACCAGAAGUCUUGAACCAGACCAUUGCAAUGAACAUUUGCAAAUAAAGCUGAUAGGACAACAGGGUAUACUGCGUGACACACUGAGGCUCCCACUGCCACCAAGACAAGUGAAGAGGUGUUGGAGAGGCAGAGAAUACAGAGGAGCAAAGUGCUUUUGUUUACUUAUUUAAUCUCCUGACCAUGGAUGUUAACAAAAUGGCUGGCCUCCCACGGAUAUCCACUUGUAGUAAGACAACACCUUGCCUUGUGUUAAGGCUGUUCAAGGCAGCCCAGUAUGAGGAGUAGGGUCCCCCAAGCCUGUAAGAGUCAGAGACAGCUCCUGCCCCACUGUUAGUCCACAAGAACACGAAGGUACACAACUGUCACAUAUGUACAGAGAGCCUGGGUCACUCCCAUGCAGGCUCCCUGGUUGUUGGUUCAGACUCUGUGAGUUCCUGGGAGCCAGGUGAGUUGAUUCUGUGGGUUUUCUCAUGAUGUCUCUGACCCCUGUGUCUCCUACAAUCCUUCCCCGCUCUCUUCAGCAGGAUUCCCUGAGCUCAGCCUAAUGUUCGGCUGUGGGUCUCUGGGUCUGCUUCCACCAGGUGCUGGAUGAAGCCUCUCUGAUGACUAUUGACUAGACACCAAUCUAUGAGUGUAGCAGGAUAUCCUUAGGCAGCAUUACAUUGACAUUUUUUCUUCCACUCAUGUAUGGUUCUAUCCUAGGUCUCUGGGCUGUCCAGCCGCUGGAUUCUGGCACUCCAGGCAGUGUCAGGGGUGGGCUCACUCUCGUGACAUUGUUUGUUUGGUUUGGUGUUAAUUUUCUUUUUUAAUUUACUUUUGAGUAGGGGAUGAUAAAAUGGUGAAGGGAUAAAGUGGAUAUCGUGAGACUGAGAAAUGAGUGGAAUUGGGGUGGAUGAUGUGAAAUUCCCAAAGAAUCAAUCAGGAAAGGCUGUGUAAAAAGAGAAAACAGGGCGGUGGUGGCGCAUGCCUUUAAUCCCAGCACUUGAGAGGCAGGGCCAGGCGGAUCUCUGUGAGUUCGAGGCCAGCCUGGGUUACCAAGUGAGUUCCAGGAAAGGCACAAAGCUACACAGAGAAACCCUGUCUCCAGAAAACAAAAAACAAAACAAAACAACAACCCAAACUAACAAACAAAGAACAAACCAAAAGAAAACACCAGCUCUGGGGGGAGCCCUCAACUUGAUCCCAGGAGGUACAAUAUAAACAAACUGUGAAUGUGAAAAAUGUACAGAACAUGGGUGAAUAGGGCUGGAGACAUGGCUCAGAGGUUAAGGGCAUCUUGUUCUCUUGCAAAGCACCAAGUUUUAUUCCCAGCACCACAAGACAGCUCACAACUAUCUGUAACUCCAGUUCCAGGGAUCUGACCGCCUCUUCUGGCCUCUGAUGCUACAGGCACUCAUGAAUUGCACAUACCUACACGGGGGCAAACAGUCACACGUACAAAAAUAAAAAUCAAUAAAUCAGUAAAACAUGA